AGUUAUAAGUGACCUGUAUAAACCUCAUAUUCUAUCAGUUGAUGGUGAUGGUGUACUGCAUCUGGUGCAGCCUCCUGUUGAGCCAGACCAACAUGCAGUUGUGAGUACUCUUAAUACUCCACAGAUUAUAUGAGUUUACAGUAGAACAGCAAUGUUGUUAAUGUCUUUACUACAGGAAAAUAAUGAAGAAACAUUGACAGCUGUUACAGAGGAGGAAGCAACAGAGACACUUUAUGAGAGUGAUGAUGGAAAUGCAGAGGAAGAGGGUCCAGCCACUUCUCCAACAAACCUUUCCUCACUCCCUGUAAAGCAGCUGUACAAGACCUAUUUGAUCAAGAAAAUAAAA
This is a long non-coding RNA of Pelmatolapia mariae (spotted tilapia), 346 nucleotides long. RefSeq lists it as uncharacterized. The transcript is spliced from 3 exons. Lineage: Eukaryota; Metazoa; Chordata; Actinopteri; Cichliformes; Cichlidae. The record is from RefSeq and is a predicted model, not a curated record.